RNAcentral lists this ribosomal RNA (465 nucleotides) under uncultured bacterium. RNAcentral's name for it is "partial 16S ribosomal RNA". It matches the Rfam family "Bacterial small subunit ribosomal RNA", at positions 338 to 795 of the family's 1533-position model. The record is from RNAcentral.
CCUACGGGGGGCAGCAGUGGGGAAUUUUGCGCAAUGCUCGUAAGAGUGACGCAGCGACGCCGCGUGAAUGACGAAGGCCUUCGGGUCGUACAGUUCUUUCGACAGGGAAGAACAUGUGUAUAAGUAACUGUGCAUGUAUUGACGGUACCUGUUUAAGCAGCCCCGGCUAACUCCGUGCCAGCAGCCGCGGUAAUACGGAGGGGGCGAGCGUUGUCCGGAGUGACUGGGCGUAAAGAGCACGUAGGCGGUGUUGUAAGUCAUUAGUCAAAGACUAGAGCUCAACUUUAGUAGGGCUAGGGAUACUAUAAUACUAGAGUAUCAGAGAGGAUUGCAGAAUUCCAGGUGUAGCGGUGAAAUGCGUAGAUAUCAGGAGGAAUACCGUUAGCGAAGGCGACAAUCUGGCUGGAAACUGACGCUGAGGUGCGAAAGCGUGGGUAGCAAACAGGAUUAGAUACCCGUGUAGUC